Molecule: ribosomal RNA, 253 nt
Filed under: uncultured bacterium
Lineage: Bacteria
Description: partial 16S ribosomal RNA
Rfam family: Bacterial small subunit ribosomal RNA
Source: RNAcentral
UACGGAGGGUGCAAGCGUUGCUCGGAAUUAUUGGGCGUAAAGGGUAGGUAGGUGGUCUCAUUUGUCUGGGGUGAAAGCCUUGAGCUUAACUCAAGAAGUGCCCCAGAAACGGUGAGACUGGAGUCUUGGAGAGGGUCGUGGAAUUCCCGGUGUAGCGGUGAAAUGCGUAGAGAUCGGGAGGAACACCAGAGGCGAAGGCGGCGACCUGGACAAGUACUGACACUCAACUACGAAAGCGUGGGGAGCAAACAGG